Long non-coding RNA from Zalophus californianus (California sea lion), 801 nucleotides. RefSeq lists it as uncharacterized. The transcript is spliced from 3 exons. The record is from RefSeq and is a predicted model, not a curated record. Lineage: Eukaryota; Metazoa; Chordata; Mammalia; Carnivora; Otariidae.
CGGCCGGUCCCCAACCCCAGGCGCCCGGCGCGGAGAACCAGUUUGGCCGAAAGAGCUUUGAAUCACGGACCGAGGGGACGUGUCCAGCCGCCGAACGGAAAAGGGCGAGUGGUCCAACCUGGUUCUAUUGGCGGGAGGGUGCACAGAAAGGUCUCGCUGAGAAGAAUGACAUUCGAGCAAAGACUUGGAAGAACUGAGAGAACCAACCAUGUGGCUAUUGGGAGAAUGUGUUCCAGGCAGAGGAAAUAAGUGCAAAGGCCCUGAGGCAGAAACAUCCUUGGAACAUCUGAGAAACAAGGAGGCCAGUGUAGCUGAAGCAGAGUGAAUGAGGAAUAGGAGAUGAAGGGGGCCACAUCAUUCAAGGAAUUGAUGUUCAAUAAGGAACUUUGCUGUUAUUCUACAUGAGCUGGAGAACUAGUGAAGGGGUGAUCUUCACGGUUUAACAUUUUUUAGAGGAUCAUUCUGGCUGCUGUUUGGAACAGGGUUGAAGCAGAGUCCAGGCCUUCAUGACACCACAUUCUCCUGGUUUACCUCCCACUUCACUGGCUAUUCCUUCCUAAUCUCUUGGAUAACUGCUUCAUCUCUGCUUAACCUUAAAAUGUUGGAGACUCCAAACUUCACCCUCAACCUGGUUCUGUACUCUACCUACACACUGUCCCUAGGUGAUCUCCCCCAUUGUGUUAAAUUCCAUCUACAUGCUGCUGGCUCCCAGAUUUGUCUGAGUCUGACCUCUCCGUUGGGCUUCCGAUGUGUAUAUCCAGUUGUCUACUCCUCCACAUGGAUGUUUAAUAAGUAUCUCAA